UUCAAAUUCAACUCAAUCCAAAGCAAUGAGACUCAAGAAGAGAAAAAAACUCUAUUCAAACAGUCCCCGUAGAGCUAGACAGGGAGGUGGUUGUCUUAUUCUUUUCCUACCACCUGAGACAACCUUGUUCCAUUCAAACCACCGCUUUACCGGGAAGCUCCAUGCAACAACUAUGAUUUCCUUGAUUAUUAAUAAGUGUUGGGUUUUCAGCACUAUAUAGUGAAUUUGGGCCAAACGAUUCUCAUAUCGUCCAUACUAGUUUCUCACGUGAGAGGAGGCAAUAAAGAGAAAGCUAUGCACAUUUAGAGUUUGUUGUUAGUCUCGUGAACAAACAUGCUGGUGCAAAGUUUCUUGGGGACUCGUCUCUCUGUGGUUAUUAACCCUUCACAUAUAUAUGUGUCGACCACCCUAUCAAUUGUCUUGGCGGAUGGAUACAAUGAGAUUGCAGAUCCCACUGAGAGAUUUUUACGGAUUAUGCGUGCAACACUGGAUGCACUUAUGUUUGUAUCUGUGUUUACAGUGGUUUCUGGUAAACAACCGCUAGCCUUCCAAAUAGUUAAUUUUACUUUUGGUAACUUACAGGAUCGAUUAGAUUGAUCCUAGGACAUUUGUCUAAGUGUGUAUAUCACGAUGAUUGAAUUCAUAUUUUUGGGUGUUACUUCUAAGAGAAAUACUCUAAUAUAUGGCUUGAUGUAAAAAACAAUAUAAAGUGCAAUGUAAUGAAGUAAAUUGUAGAAAGAAUCGAAAGUAACUUGAUUAUAAAUGUAAAUGACUCGAACUGGAACUAUAAAUGUAUUUAAAUGACUUGUGUUUAUAAAAUAAAGAACAGUG
Long non-coding RNA from Vicia villosa (hairy vetch), 831 nucleotides. RefSeq lists it as uncharacterized. The record is from RefSeq and is a predicted model, not a curated record. Lineage: Eukaryota; Viridiplantae; Streptophyta; Magnoliopsida; Fabales; Fabaceae. The transcript is spliced from 5 exons.